CCUCGGGGGGCUGCAGUGGGGAAUAUUGGACAAUGGGCGAAAGCCUGAUCCAGCCAUGCCGCGUGUGUGAAGAAGGCCUUCGGGUUGUAAAGCACUUUCAGUGGGGAAGAAAGCCUUGGGGCUAAUACCCUCGAGGAAGGACAUCACCCACAGAAGAAGCACCGGCUAACUCCGUGCCAGCAGCCGCGGUAAUACGGAGGGUGCGAGCGUUAAUCGGAAUUACUGGGCGUAAAGCGCGCGUAGGCGGUCUGAUAAGCCGGUUGUGAAAGCCCCGGGCUCAACCUGGGAACGGCAUCCGGAACUGGCAGGCUAGAGUGCAGGAGAGGAAGGUAGAAUUCCCGGUGUAGCGGUGAAAUGCGUAGAGAUCGGGAGGAAUACCAGUGGCGAAGGCGGCCUUCUGGACUGACACUGACGCUGAGGUGCGAAAGCGUGGGUAGCAAACAGGAUUAGAUACCCCAGUAGUC
Molecule: ribosomal RNA, 464 nt
Filed under: Vreelandella stevensii
Lineage: Bacteria; Pseudomonadati; Pseudomonadota; Gammaproteobacteria; Oceanospirillales; Halomonadaceae
Description: partial 16S ribosomal RNA
Rfam family: Bacterial small subunit ribosomal RNA
Source: RNAcentral